Molecule: ribosomal RNA, 245 nt
Filed under: uncultured Rhodopila sp.
Lineage: Bacteria; Pseudomonadati; Pseudomonadota; Alphaproteobacteria; Acetobacterales; Acetobacteraceae
Description: partial 16S ribosomal RNA
Rfam family: Bacterial small subunit ribosomal RNA
Source: RNAcentral
UACGAAGGGGGCUAGCGUUGCUCGGAAUGACUGGGCGUAAAGGGCGCGUAGGCGGAUGGCACAGUCAGAUGUGAAAUUCCCGGGCUUAACCUGGGGGCUGCAUUUGAUACGUGUUGUCUAGAGUGAGGAAGAGGGUCGUGGAAUUCCCAGUGUAGAGGUGAAAUUCGUAGAUAUUGGGAAGAACACCGGUGGCGAAGGCGGCGACCUGGUCCUUGACUGACGCUGAGGCGCGAAAGCGUGGGGAG